This is a small nuclear RNA of Cavia aperea (Brazilian guinea pig), 107 nucleotides long. Lineage: Eukaryota; Metazoa; Chordata; Mammalia; Rodentia; Caviidae. The record is from Ensembl.
GUGCUCGCUUCAGCAGCACGUAUACUAAAAUUAGGAUGGUGCGGAGAAGAUUAGCAUGGCCCCUGCGCAAGGGUGACACACAAAUUCAUGAAGCAUUCCAUAUUUUU